GAGGGAUAGAAUCUCAAGCAGGCUCUGUGCUGUCAGCACAGAGCCCAACACUGGGGCUCAAUGAACCGUGAAAAUCAUGAACUGUGAAAUCAUGAAAUCAUGGCCUGAAAUCAAGAGUUGCAUGUUCAACUGCCUGAGUCAACCAGCUGUUUCUGAGAAUUCUCCCAGCAAGACCCUCCCAUGAAAUGAUGGCCACAAUGAGUGAUGGGCCCACAGGAAACCAUUUUGCAACCUCUUGGAUAUUGCCUUUGUAGGCUAAUAUCCUUUGAAGAUCAUUGCUGCAAUCAUUUUGGAAGCAAUAAUCUCUAAGGACAGGAGGAGAGAGAAGGUGCUGUCUCUAAAAUGGAACAUGCCUUCCUGAGGGAGAGAGCACAGUCCACUGGGGUGAGGAAAAUAAGUAUUGGAAAUUUUAUUUCUAUUUGUUUUUUCAUCUAAUCCCUCAAAUUUAUGUUUUUGUGUAUAUUUCAUAAUGUCAGAAUAAAGUGUAUGUGAAAAAUGA
Long non-coding RNA from Felis catus (domestic cat), 499 nucleotides. RefSeq lists it as uncharacterized. The transcript has 2 exons. NCBI's taxonomy places the organism in Eukaryota, Metazoa, Chordata, Mammalia, Carnivora, Felidae. The record is from RefSeq and is a predicted model, not a curated record.